GCUUCGCGUGCGCCUGCGCGCCUGUGGCUCUUAGUGGCGCCGCCGGCACUGCCAGGCUACCCGGGGCUGCAGGAUGCCAACGCCCCGACCGUGAGGCUCACGCCGCCAGGACCGCGGGGAGAGGGGAGCUCUGCUCUCAACGCCCAGUGAGGUUGUAGGUCUGAGUCCUGCACGUGUGGGUGUUCCCGGUCCCCCACGCAUCCGCCUGGUGGUGCAUCUGUGAGCGCAGGGAGCAAGGUGUGCAGUGGAGGGGAGACCCUGUGGGACACCUCUUGCCGGCCAGCCGGAUUCCGCGUCGGAUGCCACAGAGGGGUACAGCUUGGGUCCCAGGGGCUGGCAGGUGACUCCUCCGUGGCAUCCCGUGAGUGGCAGGGCCAGAUUUGAAAUCCUGGUGUGUUUCACACACCAAAUAGCUUCCACAGUAGCAGAUAAAGUACCUUUGAACUGGGCUACCAACCCACUAGUGAGUGUGACAAUGAAGGGAAACAUCGCUAAGGUGGAGUUGGAAGGCUAGAAGGGGGAGCUCUGCCACUCAACAUCAAUUACAGACCCCAACAGGGAAGGAUGUAGGGAUUACUUCUGCAACUCAGCCAGUGAGAAACUGUCAUCACCCUUGAACUCUUGCUUUUGUCCAGGGGACUUCGAUCCCUCCCAACUUUCUUUCUCCAGGAAAUAAAGUUCCUUUCUUUUGUUUUUUGGGGGCUUGCUUGUAGUCUUGCCAUAGUUUGCAUGUCCUGAAUUGCAAUUCUGGUUAUUUCCAAAUAAACACACUUUUGCCA
Non-coding RNA from Callorhinus ursinus (northern fur seal), 779 nucleotides. NCBI's taxonomy places the organism in Eukaryota, Metazoa, Chordata, Mammalia, Carnivora, Otariidae. The record is from RefSeq and is a predicted model, not a curated record.